GACAGGGGUGGCAAGCGUUGUUCGGAGUAACUGGGCGUAAAGGGUCUGUAGGUGGUUUUUCAAGUCUUUGGUAAAACGCCGUGGCUCAACCAUGGUUUGGCCAAGGAGACUGGGAGACUCGAGGCUGGGAGAGGGAAGCGGAAUUUCUGGUGUAGCGGUGAAAUGCGUAGAGAUCAGAAAGAAGGCUGGUGGCGAAGGCGGCUUCCUGGAACAGACCUGACACUGAGAGACGAAAGCGUGGGGAGCAAACAGGAUUAGAUACCCUGGUAGUCCACGCCCUAAACGAUGGGAACUAAGUGUGGGGAGCAAUCCCCGUGCCGCAGCUAACGCAAUAAGUUCCCCGCCUGGGGAGUACGGCCGUAAGGUUGAAACUCAAAGGAAUUGACGGGGGCCCGCACAAGCGGUGGUGCAUGUGGUUUAAUUCGACGCAACGCGAGGAACCUUACCUGGGUUUGACAUGGCGCUGGUAGUGAACCGAAAGGGGAACGACCCCGCAAGGGGAGGCGUCACAGGUGCUGCAUGGCUGUCGUCAGCUCGUGCCGUGAGGUGUUGGGUUAAGUCCCGCAACGAGCGCAACCCCCGCCCUUUGUUGCUACCGGGUAAAGCCGGGCACUCGAAGGGGACUGCCAGCGAAGAGUUGGAGGAAGGUGGGGAUGACGUCAAGUCAUCAUGGCCUUUAUAUCCAGGGCGACACACGUGCAACAAUGGCCGGUACAGACGGAGGCAAGCCCGUAAGGGGGAGCAAAUCCGAGAAAGCCGGUCUCAGUUCGGAUUGAGGUCUGCAACUCGACCUCAUGAAGUCGGAAUCGCUAGUAAUCGCGUAUCAGAACGACGCGGUGAAUACGUUCCCGGGCCUUGUACACACCGCCCGUCACACCACGAAAGUCUGUUGUACCCGAAGUCGGUGUCCGAACCCCGCAAGGGGACGAAGCCGCCCAAGGUAUGGCCGAUGAUUGGGGUG
Molecule: ribosomal RNA, 961 nt
Filed under: uncultured bacterium
Lineage: Bacteria
Description: bacterial SSU rRNA
Rfam family: Bacterial small subunit ribosomal RNA
Source: RNAcentral